RNAcentral lists this ribosomal RNA (721 nucleotides) under Cellulosimicrobium sp. STS6. RNAcentral describes it as "bacterial SSU rRNA". It matches the Rfam family "Bacterial small subunit ribosomal RNA", at positions 633 to 1352 of the family's 1533-position model. Lineage: Bacteria; Bacillati; Actinomycetota; Actinomycetes; Micrococcales; Promicromonosporaceae. The record is from RNAcentral.
CGGGCAGACUAGAGUGCGGUAGGGGAGACUGGAAUUCCUGGUGUAGCGGUGGAAUGCGCAGAUAUCAGGAGGAACACCGAUGGCGAAGGCAGGUCUCUGGGCCGCAACUGACGCUGAGGAGCGAAAGCAUGGGGAGCGAACAGGAUUAGAUACCCUGGUAGUCCAUGCCGUAAACGUUGGGCACUAGGUGUGGGGCUCAUUCCACGAGUUCCGUGCCGCAGCAAACGCAUUAAGUGCCCCGCCUGGGGAGUACGGCCGCAAGGCUAAAACUCAAAGGAAUUGACGGGGGCCCGCACAAGCGGCGGAGCAUGCGGAUUAAUUCGAUGCAACGCGAAGAACCUUACCAAGGCUUGACAUGCACGAGAAGCCACCAGAGAUGGUGGUCUCUUUGGACACUCGUGCACAGGUGGUGCAUGGUUGUCGUCAGCUCGUGUCGUGAGAUGUUGGGUUAAGUCCCGCAACGAGCGCAACCCUCGUCCCAUGUUGCCAGCGGGUUAUGCCGGGGACUCAUGGGAGACUGCCGGGGUCAACUCGGAGGAAGGUGGGGAUGACGUCAAAUCAUCAUGCCCCUUAUGUCUUGGGCUUCACGCAUGCUACAAUGGCCGGUACAAAGGGCUGCGAUACCGUAAGGUGGAGCGAAUCCCAAAAAGCCGGUCUCAGUUCGGAUUGGGGUCUGCAACUCGACCCCAUGAAGUCGGAGUCGCUAGUAAUCGCAGAUCAG